RNAcentral lists this ribosomal RNA (1371 nucleotides) under Triticum aestivum (bread wheat). RNAcentral describes it as "partial small subunit ribosomal RNA". Lineage: Eukaryota; Viridiplantae; Streptophyta; Magnoliopsida; Poales; Poaceae. The record is from RNAcentral.
AUGACCCGCUUGCAUCAUAGGCGUGUCUCAAUGGCUAGGUCGAACAAGUCUUCUUCUAGUGCCUCCGUAGGAAACAAUGGAUCAACUCGGCCAACUGCACAAACUAAAAAGCCUAGAACACCAAGAACUAGGACUUCAGCCGGUCUCAGACUAGAGGAAAUUGACAGACCGCUUAUAGUUCCCGUUGGCAUGGCAUGGGAAAGGCACCCAUACAGCGCUCGUGAUCCAUCAACAGUGCUAGGUGCCUUAGUGCGCCAGAUGUAUCCACCGCCAAUUGGUCCAAAAAUUGAUCAGAAACCGGUAUUGUGUUGGGAGGACUACAAGUGGUCCCCUGGUCCAGAAUGGCGUUUCAAGUGUGACCCAUCGGAGCAAGAGAAGGCAGAUGGUGUUUUGGAGGAGAACUUAACUAGGAAAGUGAAGCUGAUGCUACAUGAGGAAAAGGCGGCAGCCAUCAAAAGAUUAAAGAAGAAGGGACAAUUGCCUACAGAACUAACAGAAGAGGAUGAGGAUGGUAACCGCUGGCCAACUAAGGAAGCUUUAAUUUCUGCAAAGAGAGUUGACUUUGGUACAGACGUUGGUUGGCGUCUACUAUGUGAGCACUGGAGUAUACUGAAUUUGAGGAAACUCAAAACCGGGAAAGAUCCUGGAAUUUUUGGUGCUUGGCUUCACACGCACAAAUUGCAUCGAGGGACUGAUGAAGAGCAGAUAUGCAGUCAAAGAACUGCUGAUCAUUGGGAGGAUUUUGAUAAGGCAAUGAAAAAUGCCCAUGGAGAAAAUUGGGAAGAGGAGCACCCGGAUUUAGAUGGACAAAUCAUCUACGAAGCAGCAGGCAGAAUGCCACAUGGCAGGCUGGGAAUUGCUAAUGAGUUGUUUAGCAAAGCAGAGAAGGCGAAGUUUAAGUCUAAAAGGGCGAUGGCCUCACAGCCGGUGCAAUCUCCUAAGGAGGAGCGUCUAGAAAGAGAACACAAACAUUUGAAGCAGGAGAUCAAGCGUCUUCGAGGCAUUGAGCUUGUUGUUCAGUCUUUGGCUGAGGAAGGGGGAGUCGACUUUGAUGGCAUAAUGCAAUCAGCAGCAGAUGACUUGUCUCCAUCAUAUUCUGAAGGCGGAUUUCAAAGGGGACAAGGUGAUGUGCCUCAACACCAAACCGAAAAGGGAAUGGGAAGCAGGACUGGAGGCAGUACAAGUCAUGGAAAUGAUGAUGAGGAUGACUACUAUGGCAAUGGGGGAUAUGAUAACUAUGGCGAGGGUGAUCUGUAUGGUGAUGAGCACUACGAUCACUAUGGCGAUGGGGAAUAUGAUGACUAUGGAGAUGAGGAUGACUAUGGCUCUGGCUAUGGCGGUGGCGAUGGCGAUGAUGAUGAUUGGCUAUAA